GCCUCGUUAGCUCAGCUGGUAGAGCAGCUCCCUCUUAAGGAGACGGUCGGGGGUUCGAGCCCCUCACGAGGCA
Molecule: transfer RNA, 73 nt
Filed under: Candidatus Terrybacteria bacterium CG10_big_fil_rev_8_21_14_0_10_41_10
Lineage: Bacteria; Candidatus Terryibacteriota
Description: tRNA-Lys
Rfam family: tRNA
About the family: Transfer RNA (tRNA) molecules are approximately 80 nucleotides in length. Their secondary structure includes four short double-helical elements and three loops (D, anti-codon, and T loops).
Source: RNAcentral